Molecule: small nuclear RNA, 107 nt
Organism: Fukomys damarensis (Damara mole-rat)
Lineage: Eukaryota; Metazoa; Chordata; Mammalia; Rodentia; Bathyergidae
Source: Ensembl
UUGCUUUCUCCAGCAGCACAUAUACUAAAAUUGGAAUGAUGCAGAAAAGAAUAGCGUGAUCCCUGUGCAAGGAUAACAUUUACAUUUGUGAAGCAUUCAGUAUUUUU